UGCCGCUGGCGUGGACCUGCUCCGCCAGCUCCAGGCCGGCGCGCACGUAGCCGAGGGCGCCGACGGCGUUGGAGCCGCCGAUCGGCACC
Molecule: transfer RNA, 89 nt
Filed under: compost metagenome
Description: tRNA-Trp
Source: RNAcentral